Molecule: ribosomal RNA, 253 nt
Filed under: uncultured bacterium
Lineage: Bacteria
Description: partial 16S ribosomal RNA
Rfam family: Bacterial small subunit ribosomal RNA
Source: RNAcentral
UACGUAGGGGGCAAGCGUUGUCCGGAUUUAUUGGGCGUAAAGAGCGUGUAGGCGGCUUUACAGGUCCGUUGUGAAAACUCGAGGCUCAACCUCGAGACGCCGGUGGAAACCGUAAAGCUAGAGUCCGGAAGAGGAGAGUGGAAUUCCUGGUGUAGCGGUGAAAUGCGUAGAUAUCGGGAGGAACACCAGUGGCGAAGGCGACUUCCUGGCCUGUUCUUGACGCUGAGGCGCGAAAGCUAGGGUAGCAAACGGG